CGAGAUCGCGCCACUGCACUCCAGCCUGUCUCAAAAAAAAAAAAAAAACAGUAGAUGCUCUCUAGAUGCCUCCCCUAAUGGAUCUCAGUCAUUUAAUUGUUUCAGGAUGCAGUAUAGCCUAGAACCAGAGGAAGUGUGCUGAUGUGUAGGAGUGUAUACAUGUCCAUGUGUGUGCAUGUGAUUGUUUCUGUUUAUGAUAGUAAAAUUCAAGGAAGUGUUGUAUGGAGUUUGAUGAGGGGCACCGUUUAGUGAGAUGUGCAUUCCAAGUAAUGUAGCAGAUGAAGGUGCUGUUGAAAGAGCCUUGUUACAGAUGAGGAGAGCAGGUAAUCAUCCCCCAUAGAGGCUGGCAGGAAGGUGGAGGGCAUCAAUAUCCGCACGCCUACGUUUUGCUUCUAUUUUUGCCAACGUUGCCAUAUCUAUUGGCUUUAAUAGGAUUCAAAUGAAAAACAAAAGCAGAAACAAGAAGGGGUGUAGAAAUCAAGGUCCCUUAUCUGUAUUCGGCUGGAUUCGAGAUGGAAAAUUUUACAGGGACGUACGCACCGCAUCACACUGGUCAAUUGCUCUAAGAUACAUCUGGGGGAAAAGCACAGUGUCCUUCGUCUCCAUGAGAGAACUUACCGGAAGCAGCAUACACAACUCUACCAAAGAAGAAGUACAGUACCCAUUUCCGUAUAAGAAUAUAUUAUUUAAAAGACAGUUUAAAAAUAAAAUUCUGUACAGCAUCAUGAAUUCCUUUUUUUUUUUUUGUAUCAGUGAACAAAAUGGUUCUUAGAAAACAUGGUCUUGUGGUGCCAGGUGCCCAGGGCAGCUCUUCCCUGCACAA
This 823-nucleotide long non-coding RNA is filed under the name Homo sapiens (human). RNAcentral's name for it is "HSALNT0404409". Lineage: Eukaryota; Metazoa; Chordata; Mammalia; Primates; Hominidae. The record is from RNAcentral.